This 462-nucleotide ribosomal RNA is filed under the name Nocardiaceae bacterium 'ARUP UnID 447'. Its description in RNAcentral is "bacterial SSU rRNA". It matches the Rfam family "Bacterial small subunit ribosomal RNA", at positions 27 to 506 of the family's 1533-position model. Lineage: Bacteria; Bacillati; Actinomycetota; Actinomycetes; Mycobacteriales; Nocardiaceae. The record is from RNAcentral. RNAcentral also lists the same sequence under 1 other name.
GGACGAACGCUGGCGGCGUGCUUAACACAUGCAAGUCGAGCGGUAAGGCCCUUCGGGGUACACGAGCGGCGAACGGGUGAGUAACACGUGGGUGAUCUGCCUCGCACUUCGGGAUAAGCCUGGGAAACUGGGUCUAAUACCGGAUAUGACUUCGGGUUGCAUGACCUGGGGUGGAAAGAUUUAUCGGUGCGAGAUGGGCCCGCGGCCUAUCAGCUUGUUGGUGGGGUAAUGGCCUACCAAGGCGACGACGGGUAGCCGGCCUGAGAGGGCGACCGGCCACACUGGGACUGAGACACGGCCCAGACUCCUACGGGAGGCAGCAGUGGGGAAUAUUGCACAAUGGGCGAAAGCCUGAUGCAGCGACGCCGCGUGAGGGAUGACGGCCUUCGGGUUGUAAACCUCUUUCGACAGGGACGAAGCGCAAGUGACGGUACCUGUAGAAGAAGCACCGGCCAACUACGU